Molecule: ribosomal RNA, 425 nt
Filed under: uncultured bacterium
Lineage: Bacteria
Description: partial 16S ribosomal RNA
Rfam family: Bacterial small subunit ribosomal RNA
Source: RNAcentral
GUGGGGAAUAUUGGACAAUGGGCGCAAGCCUGAUCCAGCCAUGCCGCGUGAGUGAUGAAGGCCUUAGGGUUGUAAAGCUCUUUUGUCCGGGAAGAUAAUGACUGUAGUCGGAAAAUAAGCCCCGGCUAACUUCGUGCCAGCAGCCGCGGUAAUACGAAGGGGGCGAGCGUUAUUCGGAAUCACUGGGCGUAAAGCGUGCGUAGGCGGCUUUGCAAGUUGGGAGUGAAAGCCCAGGGCUCAACCCUGGAAUUGCUCUCAAAACUGCAAGGCUCGAAUUCGGGAGAGGAUAGCGGAAUUGUCAGUGUAGCAGUGAAAUGCGUAGAUAUUGACAGGAACACCAGUGGCGUAAGCGGCUAUCUGGACCGAUAUUGACGCUGAGGCACGAAAGCGUGGGGAUCAAACAGGAUUAGAUACCCGGGUAGUCC